CCUACGGGUGGCUGCAGUGGGGAAUAUUGGACAAUGGGGGGAACCCUGAUCCAGCCAUGCCGCGUGUGUGAAGAAGGCCCUCGGGUUGUAAAGCACUUUCAGUGAGGAAGAACGCCUGGUGGUUAAUACCCAUCAGGAAAGACAUCACUCACAGAAGAAGCACCGGCUAACUCCGUGCCAGCAGCCGCGGUAAUACGGAGGGUGCGAGCGUUAAUCGGAAUUACUGGGCGUAAAGCGCGCGUAGGUGGCUUGAUAAGCCGGUUGUGAAAGCCCCGGGCUCAACCUGGGAACGGCAUCCGGAACUGUCAAGCUAGAGUGCAGGAGAGGAAGGUAGAAUUCCCGGUGUAGCGGUGAAAUGCGUAGAGAUCGGGAGAAAUACCAGUGGCGAAGGCGGCCUUCUGGACUGACACUGACACUGAGGUGCGAAAGCGUGGGUAGCAAACAGGAUUAGAUACCCUGGUAGUC
Molecule: ribosomal RNA, 465 nt
Filed under: Vreelandella stevensii
Lineage: Bacteria; Pseudomonadati; Pseudomonadota; Gammaproteobacteria; Oceanospirillales; Halomonadaceae
Description: partial 16S ribosomal RNA
Rfam family: Bacterial small subunit ribosomal RNA
Source: RNAcentral